RNAcentral lists this ribosomal RNA (452 nucleotides) under uncultured bacterium. RNAcentral describes it as "bacterial SSU rRNA". It matches the Rfam family "Bacterial small subunit ribosomal RNA", at positions 29 to 524 of the family's 1533-position model. The record is from RNAcentral.
AACGAACGCUGGCGGCAUGCCUAACACAUGCAAGUCGAACGAGACCUUCGGGUCUAGUGGCGCACGGGUGCGUAACGCGUGGGAAUCUGCCCUUGGGUUCGGAAUAACAGUUAGAAAUGACUGCUAAUACCGGAUAAUGUCUUCGGACCAAAGAUUUAUCGCCCAGGGAUGAGCCCGCGUAGGAUUAGCUAGUUGGUGAGGUAAAGGCUCACCAAGGCGACGAUCCUUAGCUGGUCUGAGAGGAUGAUCAGCCACACUGGGACUGAGACACGGCCCAGACUCCUACGGGAGGCAGCAGUGGGGAAUAUUGGACAAUGGGCACAAGCCUGAUCCAGCAAUGCCGCGUGAGUGAUGAAGGCCUUAGGGUUGUAAAGCUCUUUCACCGGGGAAGGAUAAAUGACGGUACCCGGAGAAGAAGCCCCGGCUAACUCCGUGCCAGCAGCCGCGGUAAU